CGCCGCCGCCGUAGCCACCGCCGCCGCCGCCGCGGGACUGGGCCUGGUUGACGGUGAUGUUGCGGCCGUCGAGCUCCUUGCCGUUCAUGUUCUCGAUGGCUUCGAGCAUCGACUGCUCAGUGGAGAAGGUGACGAAGCCGAACCCGCGGGACCUCCCAGUCUCCCGGUCGGUGAUGACCUGCAAGCACAAGGAACAACAGCACCAUCAGCGUGGGUGUUUGAUUCGAUUCAGAGAAACGCAGAUCUAAACCGAAACAUAGCAGAUCUGGUGACACACGACGCAGAUCUGGACUGGCGUCAACAGAAACCCAUCGCAAAACCCAAGCGAAUCGAACGGAACUCAGAGCAAACGGACCUUGGAGUCGACAACGUCGCCGUAGGAGGCGAAGGCAAGCUGGAGGGACUCGCUGUCGGUGGCCCAUGCGAGGCCGCCGACGAAGCAACGGUACUCCACGUCCGCCGCCGCCAUCUCCCUUCUUCUCCCACUGAAAAACCCUAAAGCCGAAGACUUGGUAAGAGGGGGAGGAGUAGCCAACCCACCUCUGAG
This 547-nucleotide long non-coding RNA is filed under the name Setaria italica (foxtail millet). Its description in RNAcentral is "long non-coding RNA (SITA_LNC006559)". Lineage: Eukaryota; Viridiplantae; Streptophyta; Magnoliopsida; Poales; Poaceae. The record is from RNAcentral.